GUGGGGAAUAUUGGACAAUGGGCGAAAGCCUGAUCCAGCCAUGCCGCGUGUGUGAAGAAGGUCUUCGGAUUGUAAAGCACUUUAAGUUGGGAGGAAGGGCAGUAAGCUAAUACCUUGCUGUUUUGACGUUACCGACAGAAUAAGCACCGGCUAACUCUGUGCCAGCAGCCGCGGUAAUACAGAGGGUGCAAGCGUUAAUCGGAAUUACUGGGCGUAAAGCGCGCGUAGGUGGUUCGUUAAGUUGGAUGUGAAAGCCCCGGGCUCAACCUGGGAACUGCAUCCAAAACUGGCGAGCUAGAGUACGGUAGAGGGUGGUGGAAUUUCCUGUGUAGCGGUGAAAUGCGUAGAUAUAGGAAGGAACACCAGUGGCGAAGGCGACCACCUGGACUGAUACUGACACUGAGGUGCGAAAGCGUGGGGAGCAAACAGGAUUAGAAACCCGUGUAGUCC
Molecule: ribosomal RNA, 450 nt
Filed under: uncultured bacterium
Lineage: Bacteria
Description: partial 16S ribosomal RNA
Rfam family: Bacterial small subunit ribosomal RNA
Source: RNAcentral